This 205-nucleotide small RNA is filed under the name Arabidopsis thaliana (thale cress). RNAcentral's name for it is "ATSL060830". The record is from RNAcentral. Lineage: Eukaryota; Viridiplantae; Streptophyta; Magnoliopsida; Brassicales; Brassicaceae.
CCAAAUAAUAUAGAGAUUUUUAACAUCAGUCUUAUUUAAUUAUGAUUUUAACCAAGUGUCGUUAGCUCAAUUGGUAAAGACCUUAUGCAAAGCUUAGAGGUCGCCGGUUCGAGUGACGCUUGGGACGAAACUAAUAUUUUAUGCUGUGGUUUCAGGCCUGGGGGAUUACGGACUUUGACCCACAACCUCCAAGAUUUAAAAAAAA